GGUCGCAUAAUGGUUAGAGCGUCCGCCUCGGAUGCGGGAGGUCGUGGGUUCAAUUCCCGGUCAUAUCAUACCA
Potamilus streckersoni is the source of this 73-nucleotide non-coding RNA. The record is from the annotation of a GenBank genome assembly. Lineage: Eukaryota; Metazoa; Mollusca; Bivalvia; Unionida; Unionidae.